Molecule: ribosomal RNA, 468 nt
Filed under: uncultured bacterium
Lineage: Bacteria
Description: partial 16S ribosomal RNA
Rfam family: Bacterial small subunit ribosomal RNA
Source: RNAcentral
GACGAACGCUGGCGGCGGGCUUAACACAUGCAAGUCGAACGGAAAGGCCCUGCGUUUGUGGGGUGCUCGAGUGGCGAACGGGUGAGUAACACGUGAGUAACCUGCCCUUGACUUUGGGAUAACUUCAGGAAACUGGGGCUAAUACCGGAUAGGAGCUCCUGCUGCAUGGUGGGGGUUGGAAAGUUUCGGCGGGUGGGGAUGGACUCGCGGCUUAUCAGCUUGUUGGUGGGGUAGGGGCUUACCAAGGCUUUGACGGGUAGCCGGCCUGAGAGGGUGACCGGCCACAUUGGUACUGAGAUACGGCCCAGACUCCUACGGUAGGCAGCAGUCGGGAAUCUUGCACAAUGGGCGGAAGCCUGAUGCAGCAACGCCGCGUGCGGGAUGACGGCCUUCGGGUUGUAAACCGCUUUCGCCUGUGACGACGCGUGAGUGACGGUAAUGGGUAAAGAAGCACCGGCUAACUACGUG